Molecule: unclassified non-coding RNA, 195 nt
Filed under: Paraglomerales sp.
Lineage: Eukaryota; Fungi; Glomeromycota; Glomeromycetes; Paraglomerales
Description: partial contains 5.8S ribosomal RNA and internal transcribed spacer 2
Rfam family: 5.8S ribosomal RNA (bases 1-65)
Source: RNAcentral
GUGAAUCAUCGAAUUUUUGAACGCAAAUUGCGCCUUUUGCGGAAGGCAUGUCUGUUUGGGGGCACCAUUUAACAAAUACUGAGCAGCGCUUGUUGUUGCACACGUUGAUGAGCUUUCUAAGUAUUUUAAAUUUUUGGGGGCGCAUAAUGAACAGCGGGAAAGUUUUUUUCAGUUCGAGUGUAGUAAAAGCUUUGC